This 429-nucleotide ribosomal RNA is filed under the name uncultured bacterium. Its description in RNAcentral is "bacterial SSU rRNA". The stretch from base 77 to 429 matches the Rfam family "Bacterial small subunit ribosomal RNA", at positions 1 to 359 of the family's 1533-position model. The record is from RNAcentral.
GAUGAGUCUGCGAAAGCGUCUUUCAAACAGCAACAGUAGUUUGAGCGGACGUCUUUAGAUUCAAAAAAUUGUUUUUGAACUGAAGAGUUUGAUCCUGGCUCAGAUUGAACGCUGGCGGCAUGCCUAACACAUGCAAGUCGAACGGAGGUAGGGGCAACUCUACUUCAGUGGCGGACGGGUGAGGAAUGCGUCGGAAUCUACCCUAUGGUGGGGGAUAACACAGGGAAACUUGUGCUAAUACCGCAUGAUGUCGAGAGACCAAAAGCAGGGGACCGCAAGGCCUUGCGCGAUAGGAUGAGCCGACGCCCGAUUAGCUAGUUGGUAGGGUAAAGGCCUACCAAGGCGACGAUCGGUAGCUGGUCUGAGAGGAUGAUCAGCCACACUGGGACUGAGACACGGCCCAGACUCCUACGGGAGGCAGCAGUGGGG